CAACGGCAAAACAAAGAUCGAGCAAAUAAUUCGCUUGUAAACAUGGGCGAUUUGCCCGAGCGGUGACUCGAUGUUACCGGCUUCCAGAAUUCUCUCCGCGAGAAUCCUCUGGAAGAUUUUAAUGA
This is a long non-coding RNA of Harpegnathos saltator (Jerdon's jumping ant), 125 nucleotides long. RefSeq lists it as uncharacterized. The record is from RefSeq and is a predicted model, not a curated record. Lineage: Eukaryota; Metazoa; Arthropoda; Insecta; Hymenoptera; Formicidae. The transcript is spliced from 3 exons.